CCUACGGGAGGCAGCAGUGAGGAAUAUUGGUCAAUGGCCGCAGGGCUGAACCAGCCAAGUCGCGUGAGGGAUGACGGUCCUAUGGAUUGUAAACCUCUUUUGUCAGGGAGCAAAGGGCGCCACGUGUGGCGCUUUGCGAGUACCUGAAGAAAAAGCAUCGGCUAACUCCGUGCCAGCAGCCGCGGUAAUACGGAGGAUGCGAGCGUUAUCCGGAUUUAUUGGGGUUAAAGGGUGCGCAGGCGGAAUGUCAAGUCAGCGGUAAAAUUUCGGGGCUCAACCCCGUCGUGCCGUUGAGACUGGCGUUCUUGAGUGAGCGAGAAGUAUGCGGAAUGCGUGGUGUAGCGGUGAAAUGCAUAGAUAUCACGCAGAACUCCGAUUGCGAAGGCAGCAUACCGGCGCUCAACUGACGCUCAUGCACGAAAGCGUGGGUAUCGAACAGGAUUAGAUACCCGAGUAGUC
RNAcentral lists this ribosomal RNA (459 nucleotides) under uncultured bacterium. RNAcentral's name for it is "partial 16S ribosomal RNA". It matches the Rfam family "Bacterial small subunit ribosomal RNA", at positions 338 to 795 of the family's 1533-position model. The record is from RNAcentral.